This 529-nucleotide ribosomal RNA is filed under the name uncultured bacterium. Its description in RNAcentral is "bacterial SSU rRNA". It matches the Rfam family "Bacterial small subunit ribosomal RNA", at positions 32 to 536 of the family's 1533-position model. The record is from RNAcentral.
AAUCAACGCUGGCGGCGUGCCUCAGACAUGCAAGUCGAACGCGAAAGUCCCCUUCGGGGGAUAAGUAGAGUGGCGCACGGGUGAGUAACACGUAGGUAAUCUACCUUCGGGUGGGGAAUAACCCAGGGAAACUUGGGCUAACACCGCAUAAUGCAGCGGCACCACAUGGUGACAGUUGUUAAAGCGGGGGAUUUUAGGACCUCGCGCCUGAAGAGGAGCCUGCGGCAGAUUAGCUAGUUGGUAAGGUAACGGCUUACCAAGGCGACGAUCUGUAACCGGCCUGAGAGGGCGGUCGGUCACACUGACACUGACAUACGGGUCAGACUCCUACGGGAGGCAGCAGUCGGGAAUUUUGGGCAAUGGGCGAAAGCCUGACCCAGCAACGCCGCGUGAAGGAUGAAAUCCCUCGGGAUGUAAACUUCGCAAGAUUGGGAAGAAUUAGUAGGGGUUAAUACCCCCUAUGAUGACGGUACCUUUUGUAAGCUCCGGCUAACUCCGUGCCAGCAGCCGCGGUAAUACGGGGGGAGCG